Molecule: long non-coding RNA, 1711 nt
Organism: Brassica rapa (field mustard)
Lineage: Eukaryota; Viridiplantae; Streptophyta; Magnoliopsida; Brassicales; Brassicaceae
Source: RefSeq, a predicted model, not a curated record
UAGACGAAACGAUUGAUAAACUUAGGGUUUUGCUUUCCUCUAGAAAUGGCAGUUUAUAUGAUUCUUCGCCUUCAGUUUCUGGGGGAGUUUAGCUUCCUUCAUGAAUCAUUCUGUUCUAAUUUAUUUUUAAAUCAUUGUUUAAUGAUAUAUUUAAUGUACUUUAGGUUAAUGACGCGGUGAUGCGGAUCAGGUGCGGGCGGGUGUACAUGUGAAGUCAUGUGACUACGCCGUUGCUGCAAGAAUUGCUUCCAGAAUGCUACAUUUGAUGAACUUUUAGCACUCUUUUUGCGAGAAGAAGAUUUUGUGGAGACAUGGUGCUCUACUAGUGUUUAUUCCUCUCUAUGGAAUCUCCGGGAUCAUUACUUGAACUGCAUGAGCAGUCGAAAUGCCUUGUACAAUCUCUUAAUAUAAAAACAUAUAACAUCAACGGUAGACGGGCAAAGUAGAUUUGAGAUAUAUUUUGCUUCACAAAUCAUGUUUUGUGAUGAUCAAUAUAUAUACAUAAGAAACCAUGUUUUUUAGACUUCAUGAUGCAGCGGACAACUAGGUUGAACGGUCGAUCAAAGAACUUUAGGGUUCUUGAGACCUGUUCUUGGAUCAAUCAAGAGUUUCUUUCGAUAGCUUCUUGAGACCAACUUCCUGAAUAAGAUGAAUUUAAUCGAAUCUUGUUCAAGGCAACUCAAAAUAGAUGAAUUGAAUCAAAUCUCUUUUAAGGUAAUAAGCAAAAGCUCUAUUAUUAAUUAUCAAAGUCUCAAUACAACUUUAGGCUUCAAUGCCUAUUUAUAAUGAAUCCUUAAAUCUAGAAAACCCUAAUCUUAAUUAAAAUAGAAAAACCAUUAAAAUAUAGAAAAUACAAAUAAAAGGUAAUUAUCUAAAUUAAUAUAACUAAUAAAAUAAAUAACAAGAUAUUUGGAAAUAUUCCAAAUACUUAUCUGCAUCAUUCUCUCCGGGUUGGAGAAGAUUCGUCCUCGAAUCUUGAAUAGGUUUUUUGUGGCUGAAAUCUUCAAAUAUUUAUCUUCAAAUCCGAAAUUUUCAUAAAACCAAAUUUUCUGACUUUCUUCGAAAUUUGCACGGAACUCGUCCUGCACGGACUUUGCACGGAUCUUGUCCCGCCUGAAUUUUGCACGAAUCUCGUCUUGCCCGAUUUUUGCACAGACGAAAUUUUCAAAAGAAUCUUCACUGAAAACGAAGUCCACAACGUAUACAUCAUCUUCAUAAAUAUCGUAGAUCGGAUCACCAUAGAUCUCUCGAUAGAUCUCGUAGUUUUCUUCUCUCUCAACAAAUGGACUUUCGUCCUGGAUAGGAUAGAUGUUCGCACUCACCAUGACAUCCAGAAUCGUUCUUCGAUUGAAAAACCAAAGAGACGCAGCUCUGAUACCACCUGAUGCAGCGGACAACUAGGUUGAACGGUCGAUCAAAGAACUUUAGGGUUCUUGAGACCUGUUCUUGGAUCAAUCAAGAGUUUCUUUCGAUAGCUUCUUGAGACCAACUUCCUGAAUAAGAUGAAUUUAAUCGAAUCUUGUUCAAGGCAACUCAAAAUAGAUGAAUUGAAUCAAAUCUCUUUUAAGGUAAUAAGCAAAAGCUCUAUUAUUAAUUAUCAAAGUCUCAAUACAACUUUAGGCUUCAAUGCCUAUUUAUAAUGAAUCCUUAAAUCUAGAAAACCCUAAUCUUAAUUAAAAUAGAAAAACCAUUAAAAUAUAGAAAAUACAAA